GAACAUGAAAUUGCUACUUAGACUGCCUGUCUGUGUUCUAAUGUUAUUCUAGUAACGUUACAACAGACAAAGAAUUUUGUACAACGUUGGUCAUGCCGUUUAUAGUUAUAGCAGAAGUUUGUACAACAUGCCUUUGGCCAGACAUGCUCAGAAGGCUCAGUGAAGAUCAACUCUCAGAAUGAACUUCUGGUGGUUACCAACGACAACGGUGAUAUAAGAGGGGACCACUCGAUUCUUUACAGUGUUACCAGUCCUCCAAAGCUGGGGAGACUGGUCAGAAAACAGACAGGCAACUCUACCGCAGAGAUCUCCUCCACAAAAAACAUGGUAUGCAUAUAUGUGUAUGUAUAGUGGAGUUAAAGGGGCAGUGGUGUCUAAAUGGGAUUUUUCUGUGUUUUAUAUACAGUACCAGUUAAAUGUUUGGACACACCUACUCAUUGAAGGGUUUUUCUUGAUUUGUACUAUUUUCUACAUUGUGGAAUAAUAGUAAAAACAUCAAAACGAUGAAAUAACACAUAUGGAUUCAUGUAGUAACCAAAAAAGUGUUAGCAUUCUCUCAACCAUCCUCACCUGGAAUGCUUUUCCAACAGUCUUGAAGGAGUUCCCACAUAUGCUGAGCACUUGUUGGCUGCUUUUCCUUCACUCUGCAGUCCAACUCAUCCCAAACCAUCUCAGUUGGGUUGAGGUCGGGUGAUUGUGGAGGCCAGGUCAUCUGAUGCCUCACUCUAUCACUCUCCUUCUUGGUCAAGUAGCCCUUACACAGCCUGGAGGUGUGUUGGGUCAUUGUCCUGUUGAAAAACAAAUUAUAGUUCCACUAAGAGAAAACCAGAUGGGAUGGCGUAUCGCUGCAGAAUGCUGUGGUAGCCAUGCUGGUUAAGUGUACCUUGAAUUGUAAAUAAAUCACAGACAGUGUCACUAGCAAAGCACCCCCACAUCAGCACACCUCCUCCUCCAAGCUUCACGGUGGGAACCACACAUGCGGAGAUCAUCCGUUCACCAACACUGCGUCUCACAAAGACCUGGUGGUUGGAACCAAAAAUCUAAAAUUUUAACGCAUCAGACCAAAGGACAGAUUUCCACCGGUCUAAUGUCCAUUGCUUGUGUUUCUUGGCCCAAACAAGUCUCGUCUUCUUAUUGUUGUCCUUUAGUAGUGGUUUCUUUGCAGCAAUUCGACCAUGAAUUGCCUGAUUCAUGCUGACUCCUCUGAACAGUUGAUGUUGAGAUGUAUCUGUUACUUGAACUCUGUGAAGCAUUUAUUUGGGCUGCAAUAUAAGGUGCAGUUAACUCUAAUGAACUUAUCCCCUGUAGCAGAGGGAACUCAGGGUCUUCCUUUCCUGUGGCGGUCCUCAUGAGAGCCAGUUUCAUUAUAGCGCUUUAUGGUUUUUGCGACUGCACUUGAAGAAACUUUCAAUGUUCUUGAAAUGUUCCGUAUUUACUGACCUUCAUGUCUUAAAGUAUUAAUGGACUGUCAUUUCUCUUUGUUUAUUUGAGCUGUUCUUGCCACAAUAUGGACUUGGUCUUUUACCAAAUUGAGCUAUCUUCUGUAUACCACCGCUACCUUGUCACAACACAACUGAUUGGCUCAAACGCAUUAAGGAAAGAAAUUCCACAAAUUAACUUUUAACAAGGCACACCUGUUAGUUGAAAUGCAUUCCAGGUGGCUACCUCAUGAAGCUGGUUGAGAGAAUGCCAAGAGUGUGCAAAGCUGUCAUCUAGGCAAAAGGUGGCUACUUUGAAGCAUCUGAAAUAUAAAAUAUAUUUUGAUUUGUUUAGCAAUUUUCUGGUUACUACAUGAUUUCAGAUGUGUUAUUUCAUAGUUCUUCACUAUUAUUCUACAAUGUACAAAAUAGUAAAAAAAAAAUAAGGAAAAACCCUUAAAUGAGUUAGUGUGUCCAAACUUUUGACUGGUACUGUAUUUUGUGACGACCCUCCCACUCUGUCUGCCGUAUUCUCUCUUUGCUCUUGUUUCCUUAUUAGGAUGCCGGUGGGCGGAGUUGGGAGGGUCGUCAGCUACAUGGGAAACACCUGGGCCCAGUGUGUCCCAGGAUAAAUACACCACUUCCCCAUUCAUGGAGGAGACUCUCUCCAUGCAGACACCUUUAUAGAUUUUGUUGUGUAUCUUGGUGGUUUUUGGUUGUUUGCUUUGGCACCUUUCAACACCCUGCAUUUUCACAUUCAUGCAUGCUAAACACUCACUUACACUACUGAUUACACACACCAUUGUAUAUUGUACUUAGUUUACUUUAUUUAAUAAAUAUAUGUUUCGUUAUUCCUUAUCUCCACGUUGUCUCCCUUUUGUUACGGGCUUUGAGCCGGUUCGUGACAAUUUCCACACAAUGAGGUUGGAAAAAUACUGUGAAAUUGUGGAAAUUAAGUGUAAGAAUUUUUUUUUAAAUUUCAGCUUGUUUUCCAUGGUUGAAGUUUUGGUGACAUCUAAGUUAAUAGACCGAUAACAAAGAGUUUCAAACCUCUCUGCCAAUAACAUCUAGUUUUCAGGUUACAUAACCCUCCCAUUAGCCUCUUCCAAUUAGGCCUCUCACUCAGACCACUUCUAGUGUAAUGUCCUGACCAGAGUUCUUAUGUGUUUUGUUUGUUUAGUGUUGGUCAGGACGUGAGCUGGGUGGGAAUUCUAUGUUGUGUAUCUAGUUAGUCUGUUUCUGUGUCCAAGUCUAAUAUGGUUCUCAAUCAGAGACAGCUGUCAAUCGUUGUCCCUGAUUGAGAAUCAUAUAUAGGUGGCUUGUUUUGUGUUGGGGAUUGUGGGUGGUUGUUUCCUGUCUUUGUGUUUUGUCUGCACCAGCUAGGACUGUGACGGUUAGUUUGUUUUGUCAUUUUGUAUAGUGUCUUGUUUUGUGUGAAUUAAAUAAUGGAAAA
Molecule: long non-coding RNA, 2871 nt
Organism: Salvelinus fontinalis (brook trout)
Lineage: Eukaryota; Metazoa; Chordata; Actinopteri; Salmoniformes; Salmonidae
Exons: 2
Source: RefSeq, a predicted model, not a curated record